This 200-nucleotide ribosomal RNA is filed under the name uncultured Anaerolineaceae bacterium. RNAcentral's name for it is "partial 16S ribosomal RNA". It matches the Rfam family "Bacterial small subunit ribosomal RNA", at positions 1184 to 1382 of the family's 1533-position model. The record is from RNAcentral. Lineage: Bacteria; Bacillati; Chloroflexota; Anaerolineae; Anaerolineales; Anaerolineaceae.
GUCAAGUCAGCAUGACCUUUAUAUCCAGGGCUACACACACGCUACAAUGGUCAGUACAAUGGGUUGCCAAGCCGCGAGGCGGAGCCAAUCCUAAAAAGCUGGCCUCAGUUCAGAUUGCAGUCUGAAACUCGACUGCAUGAAGUCGGAGUUGCUAGUAAACGCAGGUCAGCUAUACUGCGUUGAAUACGUUCCCGGGGCUU